Beta vulgaris subsp. vulgaris (sugar beet) is the source of this 964-nucleotide long non-coding RNA. RefSeq lists it as uncharacterized. The record is from RefSeq and is a predicted model, not a curated record. Lineage: Eukaryota; Viridiplantae; Streptophyta; Magnoliopsida; Caryophyllales; Amaranthaceae. The transcript has 3 exons.
AAUAAUAAUAAUUUCAUGGUAGAGGGAUCUGGGGUAAUCCCAAACCUUGGGGGUGGUGGAGAAUCAAUCUAAGGGAAAGGAGGGUAAUCCUAAUAAGAAAAAGGGGUAAAGGGUUUGAAAAAACACACUAACCAAACACUCACAAAGAGAAACAAGGAACUCAAUUCCCUUUCCCUUUCUUGAAACCCUCCAACCAAACGCCCCCUAAUAGUAUUAAGAGGAAAUCUAUUCACAUGUAUGUAAGAAGGGGGAAAAGGGAAAAAAAAAACACAAGAAAAGAAAAAGGAAAGAAAAAAAAAACAAAACAACAAAAGAACGACAUUUCAUAACGCUUCACCACCGUUUAACCUCUUCAUCAUCUCCACCCUCUUCACCAUCUUCUUCUCUUAAAAUCUUUUACAUUCUUCCUUCAUCACAACCACCAUCGUUGCCGACGACACAACCACACCGCCACUAGAGGUGACACCAUAGAAGUAGGCGGCGCAAGGAAGAAAAGGGGGGUCGUUGUUGCUGUAAUUUGGAGCAUUUGGUGCUCGAAUUAGGGGUGUUUGCAAGUUAUUUCUCAUCCCCAAUCAUCUAUAUUAGUGGAUUCCGGUUUCAUUGAGGAGCCGUAUUGACUGAGCUAGUUGGUUUGAUAUAGUUUAAAAGGUACAUGAAGGCUUAGAGUCGGGGUAUGGGCGGAGAGCAACGUCCACUAAUUUUGCGUAAAUAUAAUUAUAGUAGUUCUGUUCUGGUGCAUUUCUUAUAUAUUAUCAAUAUUUUGAGACUUAGGGUUGUAAAUAUUAAUCCACCUAAAUCUGUAUUCGCUGGGUUGUAAUAGUUUAAAAUAAGCUUUAAUUUAGUUUUGGUGCAGGUAGUUCUUCCUUAGCGAUUAUUCUCGUAAUAAUCGUGGAAUAACACGUUUGGAUUUCGAGUAGUUAUACCGGAAUUUUAUUGGUAUUUGAAUGGGUGGAGUUGUUGGAAA